AGCUCCAGUAGCGUAUAUUAAUGCUGCUGCAGUUAAAAAGCUCGUAGUUGUAUCUAGGGCUCAGGCAAGCGGUCCCUCGCAAGGGGUGCACUGCUUUGCCUGGCCUCCCUCGUGGUUUGCGCGCGGUUCUCUUAACUGAGUGCCGUGUGCGACCAGAACGUUUACUUUGAAAAAAUUGGAGUGUUCAAAGCAGGCGCAACAGCCUGAACAGCAGAGCAUGGAAUAAUGGAAUAGGACCUCGGUUCUAUUGCGUUGGUUUUAAGAGUCCGAGGUAAUGAUUGAGAGGGACUGACGGGGGCAUUCGUAUUGCGGUGUGAGAGGUGAAAUUCUUGGAUCGCCGCAAGACGACCGACAGCGAAAGCAUUUGCCAAGAAUGUCUUCAUUAAUCAAGAACGAAAGU
Molecule: ribosomal RNA, 400 nt
Filed under: phytoplankton environmental sample
Lineage: Eukaryota
Description: partial small subunit ribosomal RNA
Rfam family: Eukaryotic small subunit ribosomal RNA
Source: RNAcentral